Non-coding RNA from Gymnopus androsaceus JB14, 99 nucleotides. Lineage: Eukaryota; Fungi; Basidiomycota; Agaricomycetes; Agaricales; Omphalotaceae. The record is from the annotation of a GenBank genome assembly.
GGGCACAUGGUGUAGUUGGUUAUCACAUCCGCUUAGCAUCCAUCAUCAAGGUUUCGCUUGUUGUGCGGGGGGUGCUGGGUUCAAUUCCCAGUGUGUCCA